RNAcentral lists this long non-coding RNA (610 nucleotides) under Rattus norvegicus (Norway rat). Its description in RNAcentral is "long non-coding RNA NONRATT006163". The record is from RNAcentral. Lineage: Eukaryota; Metazoa; Chordata; Mammalia; Rodentia; Muridae.
UUUGGGGUCCUUUGAUUUUUAUGCCACAGAUGUAAUGUACACAGAGUCUGUAGAGUGGGCAGCUGUUUGAGAUUGUGGGGUCGACCGUCUUCACGCUCAGCACCUUCAGUCUCCUUAGUGAUAAGCUCCCACCCGUCUGCCAGUGUUCACACACACUGUGGUGUACUUCACAUGCGUUGUUUUGUCUGUUGUUGUAGUUGUUUAUAAUUGGCUCCUUACUGAUUUAUGUAGUGAGGUGGGGGUGGGCAGGAACGCUACUGAAGAGAGCAUAAGCAGGAGAAACAACCGUGGAAAUCCAUCCGCUCCUGCCGUGCGGGUCUCACCAUGAGGACUUGGGAGCCAGUGCCUUCCCCAGCUGAGCCAUCUUGCUGGUCAAUGAUUCUGUAGCCCUGACCAGGCUUCUACCUCCCUAAUGCCACAAGGGGAUGAUGGGACUAACAAAGAAGCCACAAGCACAGGGAAGUUGAACCAGGAGAAUGAGCACAUCUAUAACCUGUGGUGUUCUGGCCGAGUGUGCUGUGAAGGCAUGCUCAUCCAGCUGAGGUUCCUGAAGAGACAAGACUUACUUAACGUCCUGGCCCGGAUGAUGAGGCCAGUGAGUGAUCAGGUG